Molecule: ribosomal RNA, 666 nt
Filed under: uncultured Cytophaga sp.
Lineage: Bacteria; Pseudomonadati; Bacteroidota; Cytophagia; Cytophagales; Cytophagaceae
Description: bacterial SSU rRNA
Rfam family: Bacterial small subunit ribosomal RNA (bases 184-666)
Source: RNAcentral
UUAGGUUUAAAGGGUCCGCAGGCGGAAUAUUAAGUCAGUGGUGAAAGCCUACAGCUCAACUGUAGAACUGCCAUUGAAACUGUUAUUCUUGAGUAUGGAUGAAGUGGGCGGAAUAUGUCAUGUAGCGGUGAAAUGCAUAGAUAUGACAUGGAACACCAAUUGCGAAGGCAGCUCACUAAKRCCAUUACUGACGCUCAUGGACGAAAGCGUGGGGAGCGAACAGGAUUAGAUACCCUGGUAGUCCACGCUCGUAAACGAUGGCGCACGGGUGCGUAACGCGUAUACAAUCUACCUUUAACUGAGGGAUAGCCCAGAGAAAUUUGGAUUAAUACCUCAUAGUAUUAUAUAAGGCAUCUUUUUAUAAUUAAAACUCCGGUGGUUAAAGAUGAGUAUGCGUCCUAUUAGCUAGUUGGUAAGGUAAAAGCUUACCAAGGCUACGAUAGGUAGGGGGCCUGAAAGGGUGAUCCCCCACACUGGUACUGAGACACGGACCAGACUCCUACGGGAGGCAGCAGUGAGGAAUAUUGCACAAUGGAGGAAACUCUGAUGCAGCCAUGCCGCGUGCAGGAUGAAUGCCCUAUGGGUUGUAAACUGCUUUUAUACAAGAAGAAACAUCGGUACGUGUACCGACUUGACGGUAUUGUAGAAUAAGCACCGGCUAAUACA